Molecule: long non-coding RNA, 274 nt
Filed under: Hordeum vulgare
Lineage: Eukaryota; Viridiplantae; Streptophyta; Magnoliopsida; Poales; Poaceae
Description: long non-coding RNA (HVUL_LNC008566)
Source: RNAcentral
AAACGACGCGACAUGUUCAUGCNGUUUUUCGUCCCUGGCAGGCAAAGUGCCUUCCAUAGGUACAGCUACAAGUACUGCAGCACUACGUGUAUGCAUCUCCAUUCUGAAAUGCUGGAAGAUGACUGAGAUUCUUGUUGUCGUGGAGGAACACACCGAGAUUUUGUGCUACCUUCGAUUUUAAUGAACCUGUCCGGAGCUGGCCUAUCUGCCAGUUUUUGCUCAUCUUUCUAUACCAUCUGAACUAGUGGUAGUGGUUCUGGUUCUGAGAGGUCAC